CCUACGGGAGACAGCAGUAGGGAAUCUUUCACAAUGGGCGAAAGCCUGAUGGAGCAACGCCGCGUGCAGGAUGAAGGCCUUCGGGUUGUAAACUGCUUUUAUAAGCGAGAAAUAUGAUGGUAACUUAUGAAUAAGGAUCGGCUAACUACGUGCCAGCAGCCGCGGUCAUACGUAGGAUCCGAGCAUUAUCCGGGGUGACUGGGUGUAAAGAGUUGCGUAGGUGGCAUAAUAAGUAGCUAGUGAAAUCUGGUGGCUCAACCAUUCAGACUAUUAGCUAAACUGUUAAGCUCGAGACCGUUAGGGGUAACUGGAAUUUCUAGUGUAGGAGUGAAAUCCGUAGAUAUUAGAAGGAACACCAAUAGCGUAGGCAGGUUGCUGGGACGGUUCUGACACUAAGGCACGAAAGCGUAGGGAGCAAACGGGAUUAGAUACCCGUGUAGUC
Molecule: ribosomal RNA, 442 nt
Filed under: uncultured bacterium
Lineage: Bacteria
Description: partial 16S ribosomal RNA
Rfam family: Bacterial small subunit ribosomal RNA
Source: RNAcentral